GGAGGCAGCAGUGGGGAAUUUUGCCGCAAUGGGCGAAAGCCUGACGCAGCGACGCCGCGUGGAGGAUGAAGGUUUUCGGAUUGUAAACUCCUGUCAGAGGUGAAGAAAGCCCUUAUGGGUCUGACGGUAACCUCAGAGGAAGCCCCGGCUAACUACGUGCCAGCAGCCGCGGUAAUACGUAGGGGGCAAACGUUGCUCGGAAUUACUGGGCGUAAAGGGUGCGCAUGUGGCUGAGAAAGUCGUUGAUGAAAUCCCGGGGCUUACCCCCGGAACUGUCUUCGAUACUUCUCAGCUUGAGGAUAGUCGAGGAGAACGGAAUUCCCGGUGGAGCGGUGAAAUGCGUAGAUAUCGGGAGGAACACCAGAGACGAAGGCGGUUCUCUAGGCUAAUCCUGACACUGAGGUACGAAAGCUAGGGGAGCGAACGGGAUUAGAUACCCCGGUAGUCCUAGCUGUAAACGAUGGGCACUAGAUGUUUCCGCGUCUCAGCGGGAGUGUCGAAGUUAACGCGAUAAGUGCCCCGCCUGGGGAUUACGUUCGCAAGGCUGAAACUCAAAGGAAUUGACGGGGGCCCGCACAAGCGGUGGAGCAUGUGGUUUAAUUCGACGCAACGCGAAGAACCUUACCUGGGCUUGAACUGCUGGGUUUAGCUUCCUGAAAGGGAAGUGAACCUGCUUGCAGGAGACCAGCAGAGGUGCUGCAUGGC
RNAcentral lists this ribosomal RNA (705 nucleotides) under uncultured organism. Its description in RNAcentral is "bacterial SSU rRNA". It matches the Rfam family "Bacterial small subunit ribosomal RNA", at positions 344 to 1049 of the family's 1533-position model. The record is from RNAcentral.